CGGUAGCAGAACUAGCUUGCUAGUUGCUGACGAGUGGCGGACGGGUGAGUAAUACUUAGGGAUCUGCCUUUGCGAGGGGGAUAACCAUUGGAAACGAUGGCUAAUACCGCAUGAUGUCUACGGACCAAAGUGGGCUUCGGCUCGCGCGCAAAGAGGAACCUAAGUGAGAUUAGCUUGUUGGUGAGGUAAAGGCUCACCAAGGCGACGAUCUCUAGCUGUUCUGAGAGGAAGAUCAGCCACACUGGGACUGAGACACGGCCCAGACUCCUACGGGAGGCAGCAGUGGGGAAUAUUGCACAAUGGGGGCAACCCUGAUGCAGCCAUGCCGCGUGUGUGAAGAAGGCCUUCGGGUUGUAAAGCACUUUCAGUGGGGAGGAAAGGUUAACGGUUAAUACCCGUUAGCUGUGACGUUACCCACAGAAGAAGGACCGGCUAACUCCGUGCCAGCAGCCGCGGUAAUACGGAGGGUCCGAGCGUUAAUCGGAAUUACUGGGCGUAAAGCGCACGCAGGCGGUUUGUCAAGCUAGAUGUGAAAGCCCCGGGCUCAACCUGGGAAUAGCAUUUAGAACUGGCAGACUAGAGUCUUGGAGAGGGGAGUGGAAUUCCAGGUGUA
This 613-nucleotide ribosomal RNA is filed under the name uncultured bacterium. RNAcentral's name for it is "bacterial SSU rRNA". It matches the Rfam family "Bacterial small subunit ribosomal RNA", at positions 67 to 677 of the family's 1533-position model. The record is from RNAcentral.